Molecule: non-coding RNA, 1701 nt
Organism: Physcomitrium patens
Lineage: Eukaryota; Viridiplantae; Streptophyta; Bryopsida; Funariales; Funariaceae
Source: RefSeq, a predicted model, not a curated record
AAAGUAGUUAUGGUUUCUAUUCCAUAGAGAGCUGUGUAUCGCAUGCAGUUCUGUAAACAAUGUUCGGGAGAAGGUGUUCAAACAAUGAAUUGCAUUCCGAACACAAAGUCAUUUUAGAGAAAGAGUGAGAGAGAGAGAGAGAGAGAGAGAGAGAGGAGGGGAAAAACAACUCGAAAUGCAUUAAUUUCAUCGCAAAUCUUGUCAGAUAUGCCACAAUUCCUGUCUAGGAAUAGCAAAGGCGACUACGGUACAAGAGGGCGGUGGUGGUCACGAGAGCGGAACCAAGCAUCCUCCGGCCUCUGCUUUUCGACCCUGCUCUUCGCAAGCAUGAGCUGCUUGCUACUAAAAAUACGGGUGCAGUAUCGCAUUCUAGCACCAGUUUCUCACUGCAUCCGAGUGACCUGCACCAGACAGCCCCCCUCUCUCAUUCUGACCACAGAAAUGGAUGUUCGUGUUUGAAAUGGAGCUCGCAACCUUCACCGUUGGAUUGUGCCACAAUCCCUGCUGCCAAUCACAACUCUGGCUUUCUGAGUCGACGAAGGCAUGCUGCAUUGUGAGAUGGCUGUGUGGUUAAUGAAGUAGGUGGAGCGCAUUAACGCAUCUGAUCCUGUUACAGUUUCCGAUGUUACUUAUCCGUCUCCGUCUGGAUAGACCAGGUGAAUCUGUUGCCAUUUCGAGACUGGUUGAGUGUUUUACGCUGUCAAUUCAACGUUGAGGAGAAAUCCAUCUUUUGCUUUCCCACUAGCUUGACUCCAGCUUUGCUUCAAGCUCGAGGUUAGGGUUUGAAAAGAUCAUCCAUCAAUUGCACCGAGAGAGUUACAGCAUGUAAUUUGUCAUGCAGAUCAAAUCUCUGUGUAUUUUGUCUUUGUUUCAUGGAGAGAAACUUUUCAAUGUUGUGGUUGCGCCUUUGGAUCCAGGUCUUACAAACAAAUAAGCAGCGCUUUGCCAUUUUUAAACAAAAAAGUUGAGGGUUUGGUUCUCUUACGAAAUCUUUGAUUGAAUCUUCUCGAAGAAAGAAGAGGUAAAUGUAGAUGGUGCAUGACUUACGAGCCAGAUGAUAGUUAUCUUUUGCCACUUGAUUUGCCCAUUAGAUGCGAGCGCAUGUGCUUUAACUUUAUUAAACUCGGUAUUUAUUAGUGUUUCUUUUUGUUUUGAGGGGGGCUUGCAAGUAAGGAGAAUGAACUUGGAGAACCAAAUGAAGCGUCGAGACCAACACCAGAGCAAAUUUGAAGGGAGGAAGGGUUUCUGAUCACAGCUUGUUGAGCUCGAAAGGCUGCGGCAACAUCGUCCACUUGGAUACGAAGAUUCUUUUGGGAAUUGGUUCAUGCACUCUUGUCUGGUGGUGGGGCAUUGACCACUGGAGGUUCGUUGCAAGGAGACGAUGCUCUCACUCGAUGGGCGUGAACCUGGAAGUGAGCUCACAACCUUAACAGACAAACCCAGUGAGCAGGAAAAAUAGCACUUGUGUUCCUUGGUGAAAGGAAAUUGAUGUGCAUUAAUUACUUCGAGUAGAAGCAGAGAAGAAGAAUUACGAGCGAAAGGAAAAAAAAAAAAAAAAAAAAAAAAAAAGCAAUCUAAAACAAGUUCUCAGAUCCAUUGCCUUCAACGCGAAUUACAUUGCAUCAAUUUCACGUUUGUGCUUGCGACAGUACUUUUGUUCCUCAUUCACUAUCGAAUUUCGAACAUGUAUAUUGUUACUUA